RNAcentral lists this ribosomal RNA (585 nucleotides) under uncultured bacterium. Its description in RNAcentral is "bacterial SSU rRNA". It matches the Rfam family "Bacterial small subunit ribosomal RNA", at positions 244 to 845 of the family's 1533-position model. The record is from RNAcentral.
GCUAGUAGGUGAGGUAAGAGCUCACCUAGGCGACGAUGUGUAGCCGGUCUGAGAGGAUGAACGGCCACAAUGGAACUGAGACACGGUCCAUACUCCUACGGGAGGCAGCAGUGGGGAAUAUUGCACAAUGGGGGAAACCCUGAUGCAGCAACGCCGCGUGAGUGAAGAAGGUUUUCGGAUUGUAAAGCUCUGUUAGCAGGGAAGAGGAAGGACGGUACCUGCAGAGGAAGCCACGGCUAACUACGUGCCAGCAGCCGCGGUAAUACGUAGGUGGCAAGCGUUGUUCGGAAUAACUGGGCGUAAAGGAUGCGUAGGCGGUUGAGUAAGUUAUGUGUUAAAUAUAUAGGCUUAACCUGUAGAAAGCACAUAAAACUGUUUAACUAGAGUGCAGGAGAGGUAAGUGGAAUUCCUAGUGUAGCGGUGAAAUGCGUAGAGAUUAGGAAGAACGCCAGUGGCGAAGGCGACUUACUGGACUGUAACUGACGCUGAGGCAUGAGAGCAUGGGGAGCAAACAGGAUUAGAUACCCUGGUAGUCCAUGCUGUAAACGAUGGGUACUAGGUGUGGGUUGUGAAUAACAAUCCGUG